Molecule: ribosomal RNA, 322 nt
Filed under: uncultured eukaryote
Lineage: Eukaryota
Description: partial 18S ribosomal RNA
Rfam family: Eukaryotic small subunit ribosomal RNA
Source: RNAcentral
CCCUUAGAUGUUCUGGGCUGCACGCGCGCGACAAUGACGUUUGCAACGAGAUUGCGAGGCCGUCAGGUCGAGCUGAUCUUGCAAGCUGCGUCGUGAUAGGGACAGUCGAUUGCAAUUAUUCGACUCGAACGAGGAAUUCCUUGUAAUCGCGCAUCAUCAGUGCGCGCUGAAUACGUCCCUGCCCUUUGUACACACCGCCCGUCGCUCCUACCGAUUGAGUGAUCCGAUGAAUGUUUUGGAUCGGCUUCAAGUUGGUUCGCGCCUCUUGCUUGCUGUGAAAUCAUGUAAACCUUAUUGCUUAGAGGAAGGAGAAGUCGUAACA